This 253-nucleotide ribosomal RNA is filed under the name uncultured bacterium. RNAcentral describes it as "partial 16S ribosomal RNA". It matches the Rfam family "Bacterial small subunit ribosomal RNA", at positions 524 to 776 of the family's 1533-position model. The record is from RNAcentral.
GACAGAGGGUGCAAACGUUGUUCGGAAUUACUGGGCGUAAAGCGCGUGUAGGCGGUCGUGCAAGUCGGGUGUGAAAGCCCAGGGCUCAACCCUGGAAGUGCAUUCGAUACUGCAUGGCUAGAGUCCCGGAGAGGAUGGUGGAACUCUCGGUGUAGAGGUGAAAUUCGUAGAUAUCGAGAAGAACACCGGUGGCGAAGGCGGCCAUCUGGACGGUGACUGACGCUGAGACGCGAAAGCGUGGGGAGCAAACAGG